GUUUGAUCAUGGCUCAGGACGAACGCUUGCGACGUGCCUAAGAAAUGCAAGUCGAGCGAGGAGCAAUCCUAGCGGCGAACGGUCGCGUAACACGUAAGCAACCUGCCCCAGAGACCGGGACAACGUUCCGAAAGGAGCGCUAAUACCGGAUGUGCCCAUGUGAUGACAUCAUCGGAUGAGUAAAUCAAGCAAUUGGCUUAGGGAGGGGCUUGCGGCCUAUCAGCUAGAUGGUGGGGUAACGGCCUACCAUGGCGACGACGGGUAGCUGGUCUGAGAGGAUGGUCAGCCGGAUUGGGACUGAGAUACGGCCCAGACUCCUACGGGGGGCAGCAAUUAGGAAUCUUGCACAAUGGGCGAAAGCCUGAUGCAGCGACGUCGCGUGGGGGAGGAAGGCUUUCGGGUUGUAAACCCCUUUUGCUCAGGAAGAAACAAAUGACGGUACUGGGUGAAUAAGCCCCGGCUAACUACGUGCCAGCAGCCGCGGUAAUA
This 489-nucleotide ribosomal RNA is filed under the name uncultured bacterium. RNAcentral's name for it is "bacterial SSU rRNA". It matches the Rfam family "Bacterial small subunit ribosomal RNA", at positions 11 to 525 of the family's 1533-position model. The record is from RNAcentral.